GCUUUUGGUUCAGUGGUAGAAUGCUCGUCUGCCACGCGGGCGCUCCGGGUUCGAUUCCCGGCCGAUGCA
RNAcentral lists this transfer RNA (69 nucleotides) under Cordylochernes scorpioides. RNAcentral describes it as "tRNA-Gly". It matches the Rfam family "tRNA". Rfam says of the family: Transfer RNA (tRNA) molecules are approximately 80 nucleotides in length. The record is from RNAcentral. Lineage: Eukaryota; Metazoa; Arthropoda; Arachnida; Pseudoscorpiones; Chernetidae.